UGGCCAAGCUGGUUAAGGCGUGCGACUGUUAAUCGCAAGAUCGUGAGUUCGAUCCUCAC
RNAcentral lists this transfer RNA (59 nucleotides) under Millerozyma farinosa. RNAcentral describes it as "partial transfer RNA". It matches the Rfam family "tRNA", at positions 8 to 63 of the family's 71-position model. From Rfam's summary of the family: Transfer RNA (tRNA) molecules are approximately 80 nucleotides in length. Their secondary structure includes four short double-helical elements and three loops (D, anti-codon, and T loops). Lineage: Eukaryota; Fungi; Ascomycota; Pichiomycetes; Serinales; Debaryomycetaceae. The record is from RNAcentral.